GGACUGGAGCACGAGAAGUUUGUGCUGCUCUCCGUUUCUCUGUGGGCGAUUUGGUCAGCUAGGAGGAAAGCUAUACACGAAGGGGUUUUUCAGAGUCCACAAUCUACCAAAGCUUUCAUCAGCAGGUUUAUGGACGAUCUGGAGAUAGUCUCAGCCCAACAGAAAUUAGCACCGAAUCGUGCCCAUGCACCGGUUACAGCCAGGGCUCCACCUCCGGGGUUUGCAAAGAUUCACGUUAAUGCUGCUGUGAGGCAUGAGCGAGGAGGAGCUGCAGCAGCCGUAUGCAGAGAUGAUGGAGGAACCUACUUGGGAAGUUCGGCGCUCGUUAUUCAUGGCGUGAGCAAUCCAACAAUACUGGAGGCAGUGGCAUGUAGGGAGGCGCUAGCCCUGGCGGAGGACAUGAACCUGACAAAUUGUUUGAUUUCCAGCGAUUGCAAGCAAGUGGUGUCCGAUAUCAUGUCCGGAACACUAGGGGAGCAUGGAGCGGUCAUUGCUAAGAUUAGGGCGAAAGCCGCGUUGCAUUUUCAAAUUUAUUUUCGAGGUCGUGCUGUUAAUUAUGAAGCACAUAGUUUAGCUCGUUUUUCUCUUUCUCAGGGUCUAGGUCGCCACGUCUGGUUUGGCACCUCUCAUGACCCGCAUUGUAUCCCACAUCAUGUGGAUUUCGGUGAUGAAUAA
RNAcentral lists this ribosomal RNA (675 nucleotides) under Triticum aestivum (bread wheat). Its description in RNAcentral is "partial small subunit ribosomal RNA". The record is from RNAcentral. Lineage: Eukaryota; Viridiplantae; Streptophyta; Magnoliopsida; Poales; Poaceae.